Molecule: ribosomal RNA, 2903 nt
Filed under: Enterobacter hormaechei
Lineage: Bacteria; Pseudomonadati; Pseudomonadota; Gammaproteobacteria; Enterobacterales; Enterobacteriaceae
Description: 23S ribosomal RNA
Rfam family: Bacterial large subunit ribosomal RNA
Source: RNAcentral
GGUUAAGCGACUAAGCGUACACGGUGGAUGCCCUGGCAGUCAGAGGCGAUGAAGGACGUGCUAAUCUGCGAAAAGCGCCGGCGAGGUGAUAUGAACCUUUGACCCGGCGAUGUCCGAAUGGGGAAACCCAGUGCAAUCCGUUGCACUAUCGUUAACUGAAUACAUAGGUUAACGAGGCGAACCGGGGGAACUGAAACAUCUAAGUACCCCGAGGAAAAGAAAUCAACCGAGAUUCCCCCAGUAGCGGCGAGCGAACGGGGAGCAGCCCGGAGUCUGAAUCAGCUUGUGUGUUAGUGGAACGGUCUGGAAAGUCCGACGGUACAGGGUGAUAGUCCCGUACACGAAAGCACACUUGCUGUGAACUCGAAGAGUAGGGCGGGACACGUGGUAUCCUGUCUGAAUAUGGGGGGACCAUCCUCCAAGGCUAAAUACUCCUGACUGACCGAUAGUGAACCAGUACCGUGAGGGAAAGGCGAAAAGAACCCCGGCGAGGGGAGUGAAAAAGAACCUGAAACCGUGUACGUACAAGCAGUGGGAGCCUCUUUAUGGGGUGACUGCGUACCUUUUGUAUAAUGGGUCAGCGACUUAUAUUCUGUAGCAAGGUUAACCGUAUAGGGGAGCCGAAGGGAAACCGAGUCUUAACUGGGCGUUAAGUUGCAGGGUAUAGACCCGAAACCCGGUGAUCUAGCCAUGGGCAGGUUGAAGGUUGGGUAACACUAACUGGAGGACCGAACCGACUAAUGUUGAAAAAUUAGCGGAUGACCUGUGGCUGGGGGUGAAAGGCCAAUCAAACCGGGAGAUAGCUGGUUCUCCCCGAAAGCUAUUUAGGUAGCGCCUCGUGAACUCAUCUUCGGGGGUAGAGCACUGUUUCGGCUAGGGGGCCAUCCCGGCUUACCAACCCGAUGCAAACUACGAAUACCGAAGAAUGUUAUCACGGGAGACACACGGCGGGUGCUAACGUCCGUCGUGAAGAGGGAAACAACCCAGACCGCCAGCUAAGGUCCCAAAGUCAUGGUUAAGUGGGAAACGAUGUGGGAAGGCACAGACAGCCAGGAUGUUGGCUUAGAAGCAGCCAUCAUUUAAAGAAAGCGUAAUAGCUCACUGGUCGAGUCGGCCUGCGCGGAAGAUGUAACGGGGCUAAACCAUGCACCGAAGCUGCGGCAGCGACACUAUGUGUUGUUGGGUAGGGGAGCGUUCUGUAAGCCGUUGAAGGUGUCCUGUGAGGGGUGCUGGAGGUAUCAGAAGUGCGAAUGCUGACAUAAGUAACGAUAAAGCGGGUGAAAAGCCCGCUCGCCGGAAGACCAAGGGUUCCUGUCCAACGUUAAUCGGGGCAGGGUGAGUCGACCCCUAAGGCGAGGCCGAAAGGCGUAGUCGAUGGGAAACAGGUUAAUAUUCCUGUACUUGGUGUUACUGCGAAGGGGGACGGAGAAGGCUAUGUCAGCCGGGCGACGGUUGUCCCGGUUUAAGCAUGUAGGCGGAGGUUCCAGGUAAAUCCGGUACCUUAUUAACGCUGAGGUGUGAUGACGAGGCACUACGGUGCUGAAGUGAUAAAUGCCCUGCUUCCAGGAAAAGCCUCUAAGCAUCAGGUAACACGAAAUCGUACCCCAAACCGACACAGGUGGUCAGGUAGAGAAUACCAAGGCGCUUGAGAGAACUCGGGUGAAGGAACUAGGCAAAAUGGUGCCGUAACUUCGGGAGAAGGCACGCUGAUGUGUAGGUGAAGCCCCUGCGGGCGGAGCUGAAAUCAGUCGAAGAUACCAGCUGGCUGCAACUGUUUAUUAAAAACACAGCACUGUGCAAACACGAAAGUGGACGUAUACGGUGUGACGCCUGCCCGGUGCCGGAAGGUUAAUUGAUGGGGUUAGCGGCAACGCGAAGCUCUUGAUCGAAGCCCCGGUAAACGGCGGCCGUAACUAUAACGGUCCUAAGGUAGCGAAAUUCCUUGUCGGGUAAGUUCCGACCUGCACGAAUGGCGUAAUGAUGGCCAGGCUGUCUCCACCCGAGACUCAGUGAAAUUGAACUCGCUGUGAAGAUGCAGUGUACCCGCGGCAAGACGGAAAGACCCCGUGAACCUUUACUAUAGCUUGACACUGAACACUGGUCCUUGAUGUGUAGGAUAGGUGGGAGGCUUUGAAGCGUGGACGCCAGUCUGCGUGGAGCCAACCUUGAAAUACCACCCUUUAAUGGCUGGUGUUCUAACGUAGACCCGUAAUCCGGGUUGCGGACAGUGUCUGGUGGGUAGUUUGACUGGGGCGGUCUCCUCCCAAAGAGUAACGGAGGAGCACGAAGGUUGGCUAAUCCUGGUCGGACAUCAGGAGGUUAGUGCAAUGGCAUAAGCCAGCUUGACUGCGAGCGUGACGGCGCGAGCAGGUGCGAAAGCAGGUCAUAGUGAUCCGGUGGUUCUGAAUGGAAGGGCCAUCGCUCAACGGAUAAAAGGUACUCCGGGGAUAACAGGCUGAUACCGCCCAAGAGUUCAUAUCGACGGCGGUGUUUGGCACCUCGAUGUCGGCUCAUCACAUCCUGGGGCUGAAGUAGGUCCCAAGGGUAUGGCUGUUCGCCAUUUAAAGUGGUACGCGAGCUGGGUUUAGAACGUCGUGAGACAGUUCGGUCCCUAUCUGCCGUGGGCGCUGGAGAAUUGAGGGGGCUGCUCCUAGUACGAGAGGACCGGAGUGGACGCAUCACUGGUGUUCGGGUUGUCAUGCCAAUGGCACUGCCCGGUAGCUAAAUGCGGAAGAGAUAAGUGCUGAAAGCAUCUAAGCACGAAACUUGCCCCGAGAUGAGUUCUCCCUGAGACUUUAAGUCUCCUGAAGGAACGUUGAAGACGACGACGUUGAUAGGUCGGGUGUGUAAGCGCAGCGAUGCGUUGAGCUAACCGAUACUAAUGAACCGUGAGGCUUAACCUU